RNAcentral lists this ribosomal RNA (184 nucleotides) under Prevotellaceae bacterium. RNAcentral describes it as "partial 16S ribosomal RNA". It matches the Rfam family "Bacterial small subunit ribosomal RNA", at positions 66 to 245 of the family's 1533-position model. The record is from RNAcentral. Lineage: Bacteria; Pseudomonadati; Bacteroidota; Bacteroidia; Bacteroidales; Prevotellaceae.
ACGACAUCGAAAGCUUGCUUUUGAUGGGCGUCGACCGGCGCACGGGUGAGUAACGCGUAUCCAACCUGCCCAUCACUUGGGGAUAACCUUGCGAAAGUAAGACUAAUNCCCAAUGAUAUCCCACGAAGNCAUCNGAAUGGGAUUAAAGAUUUAUCGGUGAUGGAUGGGGAUGCNUCUGAUUAGC